This is a non-coding RNA of Biomphalaria pfeifferi, 588 nucleotides long. The record is from the annotation of a GenBank genome assembly. Lineage: Eukaryota; Metazoa; Mollusca; Gastropoda; Planorbidae.
CCCCCCCCCCCCAAACAAAUUUGUACAUGUAUCCUUAACGCUUUAUACAACAGUGAAACACAAAAUAACACAGCAGGAAAAUCAACAGAACAAACCUCCAUGGCCUUGAUCGCUAUAUGUGUAAGAUUAUUGAAACUAAAAAGUCACAUACCAACAGCAAGAGAAUUAAUUACCCACAAAGUUAACAUAAGUCUGGUUAUAUCCCUUAGAAAUGUAUAAUAAUGGUUUUGAGCUACUAGUAGUAAGUGUGGGGUGUUGGGUGGUCUUUUUUUUUAAUUUUAUUUUCAGGUGAAAAAAGCCAAGUAAAAUCUUAAUGCAGACACUGUGCCUCUUGAUAGAAGAUCCUCCUGGUAUCUGCCUCAGUUCCGGCAAGAAGAUCUACAAUCAUCGAAGAAACAAACUGAAGCAACGGAUCAACUCAGCAACAAGAACUACGCAAUAACACUUCCUUGAGCUCUUAGAAAUUGUUCAUGCCUAUAGUGUAGGAAUUAUAUAUAUAUUUGAUUAGCGCAAGCGACUUCAAAUGUAUAUUCUAUCUACUAAACAAGCUCGUUAGCUUUACUUUUAGCCAACCUGUAGUGAAUGGUA